This 434-nucleotide ribosomal RNA is filed under the name uncultured Lachnospiraceae bacterium. RNAcentral's name for it is "partial 16S ribosomal RNA". It matches the Rfam family "Bacterial small subunit ribosomal RNA", at positions 341 to 792 of the family's 1533-position model. Lineage: Bacteria; Bacillati; Bacillota; Clostridia; Lachnospirales; Lachnospiraceae. The record is from RNAcentral.
ACGGAAGGCAGCAGUGGGGAAUAUUGCACAAUGGGGGAAACCCUGAUGCAGCGACGCCGCGUGAGUGAAGAAGUAUUUCGGUAUGUAAAGCUCUAUCAGCAGGGAAGAAAAUGACGGUACCUGACUAAGAAGCCCCGGCUAACUACGUGCCAGCAGCCGCGGUAAUACGUAGGGGGCAAGCGUUAUCCGGAUUUAUUGGGUUUAAAGGGUGCGUAGGCUGUUCGUCAAGUCAGCGGUGAAAUGCCGGGGCUCAACCCCGGAGCUGCCGUUGAUACUGUCGGGCUUGAAUACUGUUGCCGUGGGAGGAAUGAGUAGUGUAGCGGUGAAAUGCAUAGAUAUUACUCAGAACACCGAUUGCGAAGGCAUCUCACGAAGCAGCGAUUGACGCUGAGGCACGAAAGCGUGGGGAUCAAACAGGAUUAGAUACCCUGGUA